Molecule: non-coding RNA, 125 nt
Organism: Triticum aestivum (bread wheat)
Lineage: Eukaryota; Viridiplantae; Streptophyta; Magnoliopsida; Poales; Poaceae
Source: Rfam
AAUGUACUCCCUCCGUCCGGAAAUACUUGUCGGAGAAAUGAAUGUAUUUAGAUGUAUAUUAGUUCUAGAUACAUCCAUUUUUAUGCAUUCCUCUGACAAAUAUUUCCGGACGGAGGGAGUACGUG